RNAcentral lists this long non-coding RNA (575 nucleotides) under Homo sapiens (human). RNAcentral's name for it is "HSALNT0015886". Lineage: Eukaryota; Metazoa; Chordata; Mammalia; Primates; Hominidae. The record is from RNAcentral.
GAAUGACCUCGUGGAUGGGGGGCAGGAGGGCCUCAGUCUGCAGAGACACAGAAGCAAAUGAUUGUAUGAAGCUCCUGACUGUAUGAAGUUCUCAGUCAAACAAAAUAGUACCUCUUCUGCCCAUCUCAGAGGUGGAUAAGGAUAAAGUGAAAUAAUGGAAAGCACAAGGAACAGUAAAAGGCAAAUGUCAAGAAGCUGUUUGCAAAGUUACCAAGAUGUAAAAUUAGAUUUUACUUAUUAAUAAUCAUGUCACUUGUCAUUCUGUUUAUAAUGGUCAAUUCACUGCUGAUAUUCAAGUGGACCGUUUAAACUGUAUUUUUGCUCAGCUAUCCCUCCAAAUAAAUAUCUCAAAAUCUUGACUGUUUAUUUUCUUAGCCCAUCUUAUUUUCCCAGGCCUCAAAGCGUGGCUUCUCAAAUCCCUGGCUUGUCUUCUGAUUCUGGCCAGUCUAGGUGGGGUCUGGCUUCAGUUUGUACAGAUUCUCACUCCCAAUCUCAUAUUGGUCAAACAAACCCAGAAGUAAGAUCUACACGUAUUAAUCAACCAUUCUCAGACCAGGAUUGGAAUAAUUUGAAAA